Manacus vitellinus (golden-collared manakin) is the source of this 284-nucleotide long non-coding RNA. RefSeq lists it as uncharacterized. NCBI's taxonomy places the organism in Eukaryota, Metazoa, Chordata, Aves, Passeriformes, Pipridae. The record is from RefSeq and is a predicted model, not a curated record. The transcript has 3 exons.
UCUGUGCUGAUGGAAAGGGCUUCCUUGUAGAGCUGUGGAAGAAAGGCUUGCUCUGGGAUAGCAUUUUGGGAGUUUUAUGGAUUCCCCUUGCAACUGUGGAAUAUGCAACAGAUGCCCAGGUUCCUGGUGGACAUUGAAUUCUGAAGUAAUAAAAAAUGGAAGUGAGAUUGAAGGCACAAAAACACCAACUUCACACGAGAUCUUACUAGAUGUCUACUUUGCAUUACCAUUUGAUACCCACAAAGACUUAGAUUGCAGAGCCUGGCACAGAGAGCCACCCCUCC